This 256-nucleotide ribosomal RNA is filed under the name uncultured prokaryote. Its description in RNAcentral is "partial 16S ribosomal RNA". It matches the Rfam family "Bacterial small subunit ribosomal RNA", at positions 521 to 776 of the family's 1533-position model. The record is from RNAcentral.
UAAGACAGAGGGUGCAAACGUUGCUCGGAAUCACUGGGCGUAAAGGGCGUGUAGGCGGGAAUGUAAGUCGGGCGUGAAAUCCCCAGGCUCAACCUGGGAACUGCACUCGAAACUGCGUUUCUUGAGUAUCGGAGAGGAAGGCGGAAUACCUGGUGUAGAGGUGAAAUUCGUAGAUAUCAGGUGGAACACCAGUGGCGAAGGCGGCUUUCUGGACGAUAACUGACGCUGAGACGCGAAAGCGUGGGGAGCAAACAGG